GAUGAACGCUGGCGGCGUGCCUAAUACAUGCAAGUCGAGCGAACGGACGAGAAGCUUGCUUCUCUGAUGUUAGCGGCGGACGGGUGAGUAACACGUGGAUAACCUACCUAUAAGACUGGGAUAACUUCGGGAAACCGGAGCUAAUACCGGAUGAUAUUUUGAACCGCAUGGUUCAAAAGUGAAAGACGGUCUUGCUGUCACUUAUAGAUGGAUCCGCGCUGCAUUAGCUAGUUGGUAAGGUAACGGCUUACCAAGGCAACGAUGCAUAGCCGACCUGAGAGGGGGAUGGGGCACACUGGAAGUGAGACACGGUCCAGACUCCUACGGGAGGCAGCAGUAGGGAAUCUUCCGCAAUGGGCGAAAGCCUGACGGAGCAACGCCGCGUGAGUGAUGAAGGUCUUCGGAUCGUAAAACUCUGUUAUUAGGGAAGAACAUAUGUGUAAGUAACUGUGCACAUCUUGACGGUACCUAAUCAGAAAGCCACGGCUAACUACGUG
Molecule: ribosomal RNA, 497 nt
Filed under: uncultured bacterium
Lineage: Bacteria
Description: partial 16S ribosomal RNA
Rfam family: Bacterial small subunit ribosomal RNA
Source: RNAcentral